Molecule: ribosomal RNA, 254 nt
Filed under: uncultured bacterium
Lineage: Bacteria
Description: partial 16S ribosomal RNA
Rfam family: Bacterial small subunit ribosomal RNA
Source: RNAcentral
CACGUAGGGUGCGAGCGUUGUCCGGAAUUAUGGGGCGUAAAGAGCUCGUAGGCGGUGUGUCGCGUCGGCCGUGAAAACCUGGGGCUUAACUCUGGGCUUGCGGUCGAUACGGGCAUCACUGGAGUUCGGCAGGGGAGACUGGAAUUCCUGGUGUAGCGGUGAAAUGCGCAGAUAUCAGGAGGAACACCGGUGGCGAAGGCGGGUCUCUGGGCCGAUACUGACGCUGAGGAGCGAAAGCGUGGGGAGCGAACAGG